Molecule: unclassified non-coding RNA, 234 nt
Filed under: plant metagenome
Description: partial contains small subunit ribosomal RNA, internal transcribed spacer 1, and 5.8S ribosomal RNA
Source: RNAcentral
UUUCCGUAGGUGAACCUGCGGAAGGAUCAUCAACAAAACAAUUCAAAAAAAACACCAAUUUCAUUCCAAGUUUAUUGGAAUGUUUUUUUAAUGGGGAUGUGGAGAUUAAUUAAAAAAAAUUUCUCAUGCCCCAUCAUUUAAAAACUAAAACUCCUAAAUUUGAAAAAAGAAAAUUCUAAAAAAUUUUAAAAUAUAAAAUAGAGACAACUUUUAACAAUGGAUCUCUUGGCUCUC